CAGGGCUGCCAUCAGAAAUGUUGGGGCCCCUGACAAAGUUCAAGGUCUGGGCCCCCAGUGCCCACUCACGAGUCCGCCCACAGGGCCAUCCUUGAAUCUGCCAACAAAGAUGCAUUAUGUGUGUAGAGUGAAUGCAGAGUCUGUGUGUGUAGUCAAUACAGUGUGUGUUUAGUGGAUGCAGUGUGUGUAAAGUGGCCAAAUGUAGAUCCGAAUCUGUUGUAAGUCCCAGAAUGCUUUGCUAGCUAUGGAUCUAUAAUUUGCAGGGCUGUAUUUAGCACACAGCAGUGUAUGUGUGUUUGAAUAUAAACAUGGUUUUGAAUGGAGUAUGUGUGUAUUUGAAUGUUGGUGUUUGAAUGCAAGCGUGCAUUUGUCUGUAGUAUAUAAACACACACACACAAACACACACACCCCCUGACAUACAUGCAAAUACACAGACACAGUUACACAUAUUGGCACAUAGUUACACACACAUACACUCAGGUUCACACUGACACAGAUACAUAGACAUACACACAUAUACACAGACACACUCAGGUGCAAACUGACACACAGAUACAGACACAUACACACACUGAUACACACAUGCACACACAUAGGAGAUACAGGCACAUGCAUUGACAUACAUGAAAAUAUACAGACACAGUUACACACACAUACAUUCACG
Pelobates cultripes (western spadefoot toad) is the source of this 664-nucleotide non-coding RNA. The record is from the annotation of a GenBank genome assembly. NCBI's taxonomy places the organism in Eukaryota, Metazoa, Chordata, Amphibia, Anura, Pelobatidae.